Molecule: ribosomal RNA, 429 nt
Filed under: uncultured soil bacterium
Lineage: Bacteria
Description: bacterial SSU rRNA
Rfam family: Bacterial small subunit ribosomal RNA
Source: RNAcentral
AGAUUGAACGCUGGCGGCAGGCCUAACACAUGCAAGUCGAGCGGCAGCACGGGUACUUGUACCUGGUGGCGAGCGGCGGACGGGUGAGUAAUGCCUAGGAAUCUGCCUGAUAGUGGGGGAUAACGUUCGGAAACGGACGCUAAUACCGCAGUACGUCCUACGGGAGAAAGUGGGGGAUCUUCGGACCUCGACGCUAUCAGAUGAGCCUAGGUCGGAUUAGCUAGUUGGAGGGUAAAGGCCUACCAAGGCUACGAGUCCGUAACUGGUCUGAGAGGACUGAUCGAGUCACGACUGGAACUGAGACACGGUCCAGACGUCCUACGGGAGGCAGCAAGUCGGGGAAUAUGGACAAGUGGGCGAAAGCCUGAUCCAGCCAUGCCGCGUGUGUGAAGAAGGUCUUCGGAUUGUAAAGCACUUUAAGUGGUAGGA